UUGCCAAGGAUCUAGACAUGAUUAUUUUUUUAUUAAAUUUUUUUUAAUCUUAUUCAUAGUUUCUUUUUAUUUGUUUUCUAACUUGCUUAGUUCUAUAGUCAAACUUACUUUCUUCCAAAAAAAAAAUCUCUACAUUAACACCUCAUAAUCUACUUAGAGAAUUAGAUACUUAAUCAUAAAACCUAAAAAGUGAAACAAAUCAAUUUACUUUUGACUAAUUACCAAAUCUGGCCACC
This 236-nucleotide long non-coding RNA is filed under the name Elaeis guineensis (African oil palm). Its description in RNAcentral is "long non-coding RNA (EGUI_LNC033378)". Lineage: Eukaryota; Viridiplantae; Streptophyta; Magnoliopsida; Arecales; Arecaceae. The record is from RNAcentral.